Molecule: ribosomal RNA, 253 nt
Filed under: uncultured bacterium
Lineage: Bacteria
Description: partial 16S ribosomal RNA
Rfam family: Bacterial small subunit ribosomal RNA
Source: RNAcentral
UACGGGGGGGGCAAGCGUUGUUCGGAAUUACUGGGCGUAAAGGGCGCGUAGGCGGCCUGCUAAGUCGAACGUGAAAUCCCCGGGCUCAACCCGGGAACUGCGUCCGAUACUGGUGGGCUUGAAUCCGGGAGAGGGAUGUGGAAUUCCAGGUGUAGCGGUGAAAUGCGUAGAUAUCUGGAGGAACACCGGUGGCGAAGGCGGCAUCCUGGACCGGUAUUGACGCUGAGGCGCGAAAGCUAGGGGAGCAAACGGG